UUUCGCAAUGCCCGAAAGGGUGACGAAGCGACGCCGCGUGUGGGAAGAAGGCCUUCGGGUUGUAAACCACUGUCGGGAGUUAAGAAAUACCAGGAUAUUAAUAGUGUCUUUGUUUGACUAAGGCUCCGGAGGAAGCCACGGCUAACUCUGUGCCAGCAGCCGCGGUAAUACAGAGGCGGCAAGCGUUGUUCGGAAUUAUUGGGCGUAAAGAGCACGUAGGCGGCUAUGUAAGUCGGUUGUGAAAGCCUUCCGCUCAACGGAAGAACAGCAUCCGAUACUACAUGGCUUGAGUGCGGGAGGGGAGAGUGGAACUUCUGGUGGAGCGGUGAAAUGCGUAGAUAUCAGAAGGAACGCCGGCGGCGAAAGCGGCUCUCUGGCCCAUAACUGACGCUGAGUGUGCGAAGGCUAGGGGAGCAAACGGGAUUAGAUACCCCGGUAGUCCUAGCCGUAAACGAUGGGCACUAAGUAGAGGGGUUUU
RNAcentral lists this ribosomal RNA (478 nucleotides) under uncultured Planctomycetales bacterium. RNAcentral describes it as "bacterial SSU rRNA". It matches the Rfam family "Bacterial small subunit ribosomal RNA", at positions 364 to 832 of the family's 1533-position model. Lineage: Bacteria; Pseudomonadati; Planctomycetota; Planctomycetia; Planctomycetales. The record is from RNAcentral.